Caretta caretta (loggerhead turtle) is the source of this 2015-nucleotide non-coding RNA. NCBI's taxonomy places the organism in Eukaryota, Metazoa, Chordata, Testudines, Cheloniidae. The record is from RefSeq and is a predicted model, not a curated record.
GGAAGUGAGCGCCCCGGCCGGGGUUAAGGGCGGCGGAGAGGUCGGGCCGCCGCCGCUGGGCAGAGCGUGUCCCUCCCCGCCGCCAUCGCAAGCCCGCGGGAGCCCCCACUGCCCCCCCCCCGCGCUGUGCUUUGGGACCCUUCCGCCCUCGCUGCGCCCGGCGCCGCUGCAAAGCGCCCGGCCGCAGGGGGCCUGUCUCCCGGGCCGGCCUCUGCCUGGGGCUCCGCGCGGGACCCAGCCGCCCUCCACGGACCUCCUGCCUGCCCGGCGCGGCCGCCUCAGCCCCACUGGGUGACUCCGUCCUCCCCAGCGGGGGGCCCUGCCUGACACCUGGGCCGGGGACGCUUCAGGGGCACCCGCGUGUGUGUGUGUGUGUGUGGGUGUGUGUGUGAGAGGGGGGUGCCUCUCCAAGCGCCCUCCGCUCCGGCCUUUGAGCACGACCCACGCUUUCGGGAGCCUGGGCCGCGCGGGCGGAGAUGCUCCGGCUCCAGAGGGUGGGGCGGCUGGCGGGGCCAAGCUGCCCGCUCCGGAGACGCAGCGCUGCGUGGAGGAGCGCCACCAAAAAUGCGUCGGUUUCGGAAGUGCUGCAGCUGGAGGAUAAAAAGCUCACGGGCGUCGUUUUCCCGCUCCAGGGCCUAGAGAAGUAUCUAGCCCCGGACGUGAACACUGCCAGCUUCCGGACUUUCAGCCCCAGCCUGGGUGACCUCCACAGGGCGGAGGGGUUUUUCAAACCCUCGGGCAGACACGUGAUUCAUUACUUCAGUUCUGCCAUCCGCAUGGACCAUGCACCGCAGCUGUCGCAGCCUGAGGUGUGCUUUUUGGGCAGAAGCAAUGUUGGGAAAUCCUCCUUAAUAAAGGCUUUGUUUUCACUGGCUCCAGAUGUUGAAGUCAGAGUGUCAAAAACUCCAGGCCACACAAAGAAAAUGAAUUUCUUCAAAGUGGGGAAAUACUUUACGGUGGUGGACAUGCCAGGCUAUGGCUACCGAGCCCCCGAAGACUUUGCUGACAUGGUGGAGGCCUAUUUACAAGAGCGUCAGAACUUGAAGAGGACAUUCUUAUUAGUGGACAGCUUGGUAGGAUUGCAGAAGGCAGACGACAUUGCCAUAGAAAUGUUGGAGGAGUUUGGGAUCCCUUACGUUCUUGUGUUAACCAAAAUCGACAAAGUUCCCAAGGGACUGUUGGUUAAAAAUGUACUGGAGAUCCAGGACUUUGCAGAGAAACACACUCAGGGGUGCUUUCCUCAACUCUUCCCAGUCAGGAAACCUUCCCCUGAUGAAUUCCUGACAGACCUACCUCUCCGUGUCCACAACUCUCCUGUUGUACUCUACCCAUCCAGCACAAUAGCGUGGCAAGCUGCAGGUGACCAUGAAGAGCUCAUCAGCAGAGGUGACCAUGAUGGAGUCCCAGAAUCGCAAAAGAGCUCCAUCAUGGACUGAACAGGAGGUAUGGGAUCUGAUCGCUGUAUGGGGAGAGGAAUCCGUGCUAUCAGAACUCCGUUCCAGUUUUUGAAAUGCCAAAACCUUUGUGAAAAUCUCCCAGGGCAUGAAGGACAGAGGCCAUAACAGGGACCCGAAGCAGUGCCGCAUGAAACUGAAGGAGCUGAGGCAAGCCUACCAGAAAACCAGAGAGGCGAACGGCCGCUCCGGGUCAGAGCCCCAAACAUGCCGCUUCUAUGAUGAGCUGCAUGCCAUUUUAGGGGGUUCAGCCACCACUAACCCAGCCGUGUUGUUUGACUCCUUCAAUGGAGAUGGAGGCAAUACGGAAGCAGGUUUUGGGGACGAAGAAGAUGAUAGCUCACAGCAAGCAAGCGGAGAAACCGGUUUUCCCGACAGCCAGGAACUGUUUCUCACCCUGGACCUGGAGCCAGUACCCCCCGAACCCACCCAAGGCUGCCUCCUGGACCCAGCAGGUGGAGAAGGGACCUCUGCUGCAUGUGUUUCAAUGAUCACAGGAUCUUCUCCUUCCCAGAGGCUAGUGAAGCUUAGAAAGAAAAAAAAACGCACUCGAGAUGAAAU